AUUGAACGCUGGCGGCAUGCUUUACACAUGCAAGUCGAACGGUAACAGGUCUUUCGGGAUGCUGACGAGUGGCGAACGGGUGAGUAAUGUAUCGGAACGUGCCCAGUAGUGGGGGAUAACUACUCGAAAGAGUGGCUAAUACCGCAUGAGAUCUCUGGAUGAAAGCGGGGGACCGUAAGGCCUCGCGCUACUGGAGCGGCCGAUAUCAGAUUAGGUUGUUGGUGAGGUAAAGGCUCACCAAGCCGACGAUCUGUAGCUGGUCUGAGAGGACGACCAGCCACACUGGGACUGAGACACGGCCCAGACUCCUACGGGAGGCAGCAGUGGGGAAUAUUGGACAAUGGGCGAAAGCCUGAUCCAGCAAUGCCGCGUGAGUGAUGAAGGCCUUAGGGUUGUAAAGCUCUUUUACCAGGGAUGAUAAUGACAGUACCUGGAGAAUAAGCUCCGGCUAACUCCGUGCCAGCAGCCGCGGUAAUGUACAG
This 482-nucleotide ribosomal RNA is filed under the name uncultured bacterium. Its description in RNAcentral is "bacterial SSU rRNA". It matches the Rfam family "Bacterial small subunit ribosomal RNA", at positions 30 to 530 of the family's 1533-position model. The record is from RNAcentral.